AUCAUCACAAUUAUAAUUGAAGAAUAAGAAAGCAUCAAUCUAAAUUUACAAUCCAAACUCCCGUAUUGAAUUGAUGGAAAGAUGAUGAAAUCUUGUGUCUUGUAGUCUCCAAUGCUCUCCCAAAGCUUCCAAGGUCAAAAGUCCAUUCAAAAACGGCUUUUGAUGUAUUUAUACCAUGUAGGAGUGGGCCCAGGUGAAAUUACCUUUUUCUAGCCGAAACAGGACAAAUACUAUAAGAAAAUCACACAGGCGCGCCACCCCUCGCGCCGCCCCAUGCGGGGCGCUUGUGGGGAAGUUCAGAGAGUAAGUUCUGAUAGACAGCAUCAAAAUUUAGUGUCGCGCCGCCCCAUGCGGUGCGGUAGUGCAAGAUUUCUAGAGUGUUUCAUUUUCUUGAUUUUUGAUAUCCAUACUCGGCUCCCGACCCUCCGAACACGAUCCCCAUUUAAUCCCUUGGACUUUUACUCGGACUUUAAAGCUCUAACUUAUUCAAUUUAGCUCCGGAAUAUCUUUUUAACUCGAAAUCACUUCCUACAAGGCAUAAAAUACACAAUAAGUACAAUACACUAACAUUCAACUCAAACACAAGUAAAACACAAUAAUUAGAGUAUAAACUACGACUAAAACACGUGAUUCUAGCCUACCAUCAUUGAUACAUCAUAUGUUUCCACGCCUUGAUGCCACAAUAACUUUAACUCAUCAAUCAAAGGCUGUAUGUAAACAUCAAUCAAUUAGACAUCAAUCAAUACAAGUUAGAAAUAAAUAUGGACUUGCCAUACAUAACUCGGGUGGAAGAUUAUAUGGUGUAACAAACACCGGCCAAUAUGAAUAUGGUACAGCAGAGAUUGCGAAUGGAGUGAAUCCAUCAACGCAUAAUCCCAACCUAAUGUUCCUUCAUUCACUAGCAAAGUUUGAGAACACCCUAUCGAAAUGCUUCCAUGCUUCUCUAUCUGAAGGAUGACAUAUAACACCAUUUGGCCUUGUAUGCUCAUAAUGCCAUCUCAUAUGAGGAGUGAAGCUCAUUGAUGCAUACAAUCUCUUUAACCUUGGUAUAUGGGGUAAGUAGUGUAUCGCCUUCACUGGGAUCUUAUUCUUUUCAUCAUUUGGGGCAUCCUUGUAAUGGGGCUUGUUACAAAAUUUACAGUUCUCUAAAGAUGCAUCAUCCUUAUAGAAUAACAUGCAACCAUUCUCACAACAAUGAAUCAUCUCUGAUGAAAGACCCAACUUGGAAACUAAUGUUUUGCCGUGUGGAAAUAUUUGGGUAGGUCAAUGUUACUCAGAUUAAGUUCAUUCAUAAGCCCAAUGAUAGAAUUCAUACUCAAUUGAGAAAUAGAACUAUCUGACUUCAUUUGAAGUAAUCGAACAGCACCAAACAACUUGGAAUGCACUGAGCCUUCAUACAACGGAUAACUAGCUUCCUCUAACUCUUUGAAGAACUUCUUAGCCUCAUCAUUUGAUUCAGAUUGAGCCCCCGGGAAUAUCUCAAAGACAUCCUUCAUCAUGUAAUUGAAUCUAGAAUUUUUAACAUUAUUCUCCACUACGGGACUACCCUCCUCACCACCAAAAUAAUUAUGAAAAUCAACAUCAUUUACGCUAUCAAGAUUCUUCCCAUGAGCAGUCCACACAUAAUAAUUUUCCAUAAAUCCUUUUUUUUUUAAAUAUGACAUGUAACACCAUCUUCUCCCAAUAACUUAACACACUUGCAUUUCACACAAGGGCACAUAAACGUUCCUUCAAUACGUAAAUCAUCAUGUGUCCUUGCCUUAGCAAUAAAUCCAGCACCCCCUUCUUUAAAUUCAUCCCUUAACCCCACACGAUUAGGAUGAUUCAUAUUAUACUUAUAUCUACGAUACGCAAAUGCCAUAUACACAAACAAAAAAACUUAAAAUUUAUAAGAUAUUUAUAAUUUUUAGUUUAUUUAAAGUAAUUAAUAGGUUAAGCUAAUUCGAAUGUUCAUUUUUUCAAAUUUACUUAUUAUUUUCCAACAUACUUUAAUUAAUAUAUUAUAUUCUUUUAAACAUUAACAUUCGAAAUCUUACAUUUAUCCCUAUUCUAUGCUAUAUAAGUCUCUCAAAAUAUAAAUUCCUUAAAUUACUUCUCAUAUAUUCAUAAAGUCCACACAUGACUUUAAUUAAUAUAAUAUAUUUGUCAAAUAAAAAACUAGUGAAAAUUAAAAAUGAAUUAAACAAUAUUAUUGAAAUUUGACUAAUUUUGGACCUGAUCUUGCUUAUUAAUAAUAUAGUCAUACUUUGAUUUCUCUCCAAAAUAUCUCUCAAAUUAUUCAAACUAUAUAAGGCAUGAAGUGAUUAAAAACACUUCUUUCUUCUUCUAUUAUUCUUUCCAACAAAGGACAAGCUUCCUUCUCCCAAAAAUUAACCUAUCAAUACUAACUAAUCAAACAACCUAAUUAAUAAGUCACAUUCUUAUUAAAGUUACUUAUCCAAUCACUUAUUAUAUUUUUAAGUAUAAUACUUGGAUGAUUUCAGUAAUAUAAGUUAUAUAUAUGCCUAACUCCUUAAAAAAUAUAUCACUUGACUAUCUAAGCUUAUUAAUUUGAUGAAUACGUACCAAUUUUAGGAGUUAAUUUUUUGAUAACUACUAAAUUUCGUGUAAACUACAUAAGUCUCAUGAUCGUAUGACCCUUAAUUUAACUUAAAUUAGAUUUCAUUAGUUACAUUAAACUAUUAAAAUAAAAUGACAUAGAGCUUUCAACUAUCUUAAAGCAUGCUAUGUAAAUAAAUGUAAAUCUUAUAAUACUUGGAUGAUUUCAAUAAUAUAAGUUAUAUAUAUGCCUAACUCUUUAAAAUAUAUAUCACUUGACUAUCUAAGCUUAUUAAUUUGAUGAAUACGUUCCAAUCUUAGGAGUUAAUUUUUUGAUAACUACUAAAUUUCGUGCAAACUACAUAAGUCUCAUGAUCGUAUGACCCUUAAUUUAAGUUAAAUUAGAUUUCAUUAGUUACAUUAAACUAUUAAAAUAAAAUGAUAUAGAGCUUUCAACUAUCUUAAAGCAUGCUAUGUAAAUAAAAGUAAAUCUUAGAUUCACUAAUUAAUGCACAUUGUUAAUAAGAUACACCAUCAUCAAAUAAACUUCCAUAUUACUCUCCAAUUUAUAAAUAAUGCACAAUAUUGUUAAUAAGGUUAUGAUUAAAUUUUAGAGAUGCACGGAGAAUCAAAUUAGAGUAAAUCUAAAUAGAAAAACUAGACAUCUAAGCCACAGUAUUGAAUUCAAUUUUAGGGAUGCACAAAUUAAAAAACCCAAUUAGGAGGGCGAAUUAGGUACUAAAAAAGAAAAAGAAAAAGAAAUUACUAACCUCAAUGUUAAUGUCGUCGCCGCCGCCGGAAGCUACCGCCUGUAAGAAGAAACCUUCGAAUGAGAGGGAUGGAGAGAGAAGGAAAAAAAAAAGGAAUGGAGAAAGAAAUAGAGAGGGGUGUAAGGAGAGUGAUGGAAAGUGACACUUACUAGGUUGGAAUCGUCGGAAUCGCCGGAGGGGUGGAAGAAGAAUAUGUUAGAGAAGGGAUAGAAAUGUUAGAGAAGGGAUAGAAGGUUUG
Molecule: long non-coding RNA, 3546 nt
Filed under: Nicotiana tabacum (common tobacco)
Lineage: Eukaryota; Viridiplantae; Streptophyta; Magnoliopsida; Solanales; Solanaceae
Description: long non-coding RNA (NTAB_LNC016039)
Source: RNAcentral